AGAGUUCAUCAGAACAUCUUACUUUAUUUUAAUGUAUACAUAUCUGUGAUGAAAUAUACUUUUUUAACAUAAUACUUUUUUGUAAUAGUAUAAUAGUAUUUCUGUGGUUCACUAAUGUUCUGCCUAGACUAGCUAAAGAUGCUUCAGUUGUGUUUUUGAUUAAUGGAACAAUAAAGCACUUAUUUCUUUCCAUAAAAUAAACAUACAGAAUGCUUCUUAGAAUUCUAACAUUAUUUUUGUCCUGAGUUUUUUUUAAUGUGAGCCUUGACUAUGUUACUAAUUCCAUAAAAAAAAAAAAAAUCUUGAUUCCUGUUUCAUAAUGUCACAUUACUACAUGUGACAGGCUCACUUUUAACUACAAGUCACUUCCUGUAAACAUCCUGAAAAUGUCUGGCCUUUGCCCUUUUUUUUGGGAUUUCCUACUGUACAAAUGGCAGCUUAGAGCAAUGCAUCGACCUUGAUUGCAGAAGAGCGGAAACUGACAUCUGAUGUUUUGUUUUUCGUUUCAGCAACAAGCAGCUGCAAGGAGGUAUAAUGGUCACAGUGGAAGACAUCUGCACUAAAUUAUCUUUAUAGGGCUGCACAAACAAAUGGUGCGAUGGAUCGCGUACAGACCAAUAGGGUGUCGGAAUGGAAUAUGUUUAUACUUCUCAUCCAAUCACAAUCAAAUUCACCUCAUCUGGACGGCGCGAUUUAUCUGGGUAGUUUUUUUUUUCAGUAACGAAGCUAUUUUUAAAAUGUAAGGAGUAGAAAGUACAGAUAAUUGUGUGAAAAUGUAAGCAGUAGAAGUAAGAGUCGGCUGAAAAAUAAUUACUCCAGAAAGUAUAGAGACCCCAAAUUUCUACUUAAGGUAACAAAAUAUUUGUACUUCGUUACUUGAAACCUCUGGUAAACACUUGCAUUUUAGUGUCCCAUCAGGUAAUGAAAAGUUAGACACACACUUGUGGUCUUCAUCCUCACUUGAACACUUGGGUCAAAUACAGGAAAUACGUCAAAGAAGUAGUUAAGUGCAAAGACCACAAGUGUGGAUAUUUGGACAAGGCUUAAGUGCAU
This 1053-nucleotide long non-coding RNA is filed under the name Carassius auratus (goldfish). RNAcentral's name for it is "lncRNA (ENSCARG00000035975.1)". Lineage: Eukaryota; Metazoa; Chordata; Actinopteri; Cypriniformes; Cyprinidae. The record is from RNAcentral.